This 774-nucleotide ribosomal RNA is filed under the name uncultured Neocallimastigales. RNAcentral's name for it is "partial large subunit ribosomal RNA". It matches the Rfam family "Eukaryotic large subunit ribosomal RNA", at positions 24 to 618 of the family's 3401-position model. Lineage: Eukaryota; Fungi; Neocallimastigomycota; Neocallimastigomycetes; Neocallimastigales. The record is from RNAcentral.
UAUCUCUGUAGAGUCUGCAUAUCAAUAAGCGGAGGAAAAGAAACUAACUAGGAUUCCCUCAGUAACGGCGAGUGAAGCGGGAAGAGCUCAAAUUUGAAAUCUUCAAGGUUCUACCUUGACGAAUUGUAGUUUAAAGAAGUGUUUUCUGUUGAAGUUUCGGUAAAAGUUCUUUGGAAUAGGACAUCAUAGAGGGUGAGAAUCCCGUAUUUGACCAUUAUUUCCAGCUUUGUGAUACACUUUCAAAGAGUCGGAUUGUUUGGGAAUGCAGUCCAAAAUGGGUGGUAAAUUUCAUCUAAAGCUAAAUAUUGGCGAGAGGACCGAUAGCGAACAAGUACCGUGAGGGAAAGAUGAAAAGAACUUUGAAAAGAGAGUUAAACAGUACGUGAAAUUGUCAAAAGGGAAGCGUUUGACACCAGUGUUGUUUCUACGAAAAUCAAUUUAUGAUGGCUUGAUGCUAAGCUCUAAGACUUUAUCCGCUUGUUGUUUAGUUUUCUUGUCUUUGUGAAUGCACUUUUCGUGGAACAAGUCAACAUCAAUUUCUUUUGCUGUAAAAGGGUAAGAGGAAGGUGGCUUCGGCUUCGGUUGAAGUGUUUAUAGCCUUUUAUCUCUGCAGUCGGAGAGAUUGAGGUCUGCAGCGUAGACUCUUCGGGGUUAGAUACGUCGGUGCUAAGCUAUAGCUUUUCAUAGACAACUUGUUGACUAUGUUUAGUCAUGUGGCUUACCCGCUGGCGCUAUUUUACCUACGCUUAGGAUGUUGAGUCAUCACACAUCUCU